Molecule: ribosomal RNA, 460 nt
Filed under: Salmonella enterica
Lineage: Bacteria; Pseudomonadati; Pseudomonadota; Gammaproteobacteria; Enterobacterales; Enterobacteriaceae
Description: bacterial LSU rRNA
Rfam family: Bacterial large subunit ribosomal RNA
Source: RNAcentral
GUAAGGUGAUAUGAACCGUUAUAACCGGCGAUACCCGAAUGGGGAAACCCAGUGUGAUUCGUCACACUAUCAUUAACUGAAUCCAUAGGUUAAUGAGGCGAACCGGGGGAACUGAAACAUCUAAGUACCCCGAGGAAAAGAAAUCAACCGAGAUUCCCCCAGUAGCGGCGAGCGAACGGGGAGGAGCCCAGAGCCUGAAUCAGCAUGUGUGUUAGUGGAAGCGUCUGGAAAGGCGCGCGAUACAGGGUGACAGCCCCGUACACAAAAGCGCAUGUGCUGUGAGCUCGAUGAGUAGGGCGGGACACGUGGUAUCCUGUCUGAAUAUGGGGGGACCAUCCUCCAAGGCUAAAUACUCCUGACUGACCGAUAGUGAACCAGUACCGUGAGGGAAAGGCGAAAAGAACCCCGGCGAGGGGAGUGAAAAAGAACCUGAAACCGUGUACGUACAAGCAGUGGGAGC